GAUGAAGAACGUAGCAAAAUGCGAUACUUGGUGUGAAUUGCAGAAUCCCGUGAACCAUCGAGUUUUUGAACGCAAGUUGCGCCCGAAGCCUUUUGGCCGAGGGCACGUCUGCCUGGGCGUCACGCAUCGCGUCGCCCCCCACAAUUCUCUGUAAAGGGAACUCGUGUUUUGGGGGCGGAUAUUGGUCUCCUGUGCUCAUGGCGUGGUUGGCCGAAAUAGGAGUCCCUUCGAUGGACGCACGAACUAGUGGUGGUAGUAAAAACCCUCGUCUUUUGUUUCGUGCUGUUAGUCGCAAGGGAAACUCUAAGAAAACCCCAACGUGUCGUCUUUUGACGGCGCUUCGACCGCGACCCCAGGUCAGGCGGGACUACCCGCUGAGUUUAAGCAUAUCAAUAAGCGGAGGA
Molecule: unclassified non-coding RNA, 404 nt
Filed under: soil metagenome
Description: partial contains 5.8S ribosomal RNA, internal transcribed spacer 2, and large subunit ribosomal RNA
Rfam family: 5.8S ribosomal RNA (bases 1-122)
Source: RNAcentral